UCGUCGAGAAGGGGGAGCACGACGACCUGCUGGUACCCAGCGUGACGGCCCUGGGCUGCCUGUCGAGGACGUUCCGGGCGACCGAGUCCCGGGUGAUCGCUCCGCUGGUGCGCCUGCUCGACGAGACGGAAGCGACGGUGAUGAGCGAGGCGGUGGCGGCGCUGACCAAGUUCGCGUGCACCGAGAACUACCUGCACGUCAACCACUCGCAGGCCAUCAUCGAGGCCGGAGGGGCGAGGCACCUGAUCCAGCUGGUGUACCUGGGGGAGCAGGUGCAGGUCGAGGCGUUGGUCC
This 294-nucleotide long non-coding RNA is filed under the name Musa acuminata (dwarf banana). RNAcentral's name for it is "long non-coding RNA (MACU_LNC006693)". The record is from RNAcentral. Lineage: Eukaryota; Viridiplantae; Streptophyta; Magnoliopsida; Zingiberales; Musaceae.